CAGGUUUACCUGUGUGACUGCGUACCUUUUGUAUAAUGGGUCAGCGACUUAUAUUCUGUAGCAAGGUUAACCGUAUAGGGGAGCCGUAGGGAAACCGAGUCUUAACCGGGCGUUAAGUUGCAGGGUAUAGACCCGAAACCCGGUGAUCUAGCCAUGGGCAGGUUGAAGGUUGGGUAACACUAACUGGAGGACCGAACCGACUAAUGUUGAAAAAUUAGCGGAUGACCUGUGGCUGGGGGUGAAAGGCCAAUCAAACCGGGAGAUAGCUGGUUCUCCCCGAAAGCUAUUUAGGUAGCGCCUCGUGAAUUCAUCUCCGGGGGUAGAGCACUGUUUCGGCUAGGGGGCCAUCCCGGCUUACCAACCCGAUGCAAACUGCGAAUACCGGAGAAUGUUAUCACGGGAGACACACGGCGGGUGCUAACGUCCGUCGUGAAGAGGGAAACAACCCAGACCGCCAGCUAAGGUCCCAAAGUCAUGGUUAAGUGGGAAACGAUGUGGGAAGGCCCAGACAGCCAGGAUGUUGGCUUAGAAGCAGCCAUCAUUUAAAGAAAGCGUAAUAGCUCACUGGUCGAGUCGGCCUGCGCGGAAGAUGUAACGGGGCUAAACCAUGCACCGAAGCUGCGGCAGCGAACGUAUCACCCAAGACAACUUUACGGAGUUGACGAUUGACGGAGCGAAGCGACGUCAAAGCGUUCAUUAAAGUCGAGUUGGCUUAGGGAUACGUUCGUUGGGUAGGGGAGCGUUCUGUAAGCCUGUGAAGGUGUGUCGUGAGGCAUGCUGGAGGUAUCAGAAGUGCGAAUGCUGACAUAAGUAACGAUAAAGCGGGUGAAAAGCCCGCUCGCCGGAAGACCAAGGGUUCCUGUCCAACGUUAAUCGGGGCAGGGUGAGUCGACCCCUAAGGCGAGGCCGAAAGGCGUAGUCGAUGGGAAACGGGUUAAUAUUCCCGUACUUGGUGUUACUGCGAAGGGGGGACGGAGAAGGCUAUGUUGGCCGGGCGACGGUUGUCCCGGUUUAAGCGUGUAGGUGUGUGUUCCAGGUAAAUCCGGUUCACUUUAACACUGAGGCGUGACGACGAGGCACUACGGUGCUGAAGCAACAAAUGCCCUGCUUCCAGGAAAAGCCUCUAAGCAUCAGGUAACAC
Molecule: ribosomal RNA, 1141 nt
Filed under: Salmonella enterica subsp. enterica
Lineage: Bacteria; Pseudomonadati; Pseudomonadota; Gammaproteobacteria; Enterobacterales; Enterobacteriaceae
Also listed under: 1 other name
Description: partial 23S ribosomal RNA
Rfam family: Bacterial large subunit ribosomal RNA
Source: RNAcentral